This 425-nucleotide ribosomal RNA is filed under the name uncultured bacterium. RNAcentral's name for it is "bacterial SSU rRNA". It matches the Rfam family "Bacterial small subunit ribosomal RNA", at positions 28 to 430 of the family's 1533-position model. The record is from RNAcentral.
GACGAACGCNGGCGGCGUGCUUAACACAUGCAAGUCGAACGAAGAGCGAUGGAAGCUUGCUUCUAUCAAUCUUAGUGGCGAACGGGUGAGUAACGCGUAAUCAACCUGCCCUUCAGAGGGGGACAACAGUUGGAAACGACUGCUAGUACCGCAUACGAUCUAAUCUCGGCAUCGAGGAUAGAUGAAAGGUGGCCUCUACAUGUAAGCUAUCACUGAAGGAGGGGAUUGCGUCUGAUUAGCUAGUUGGAGGGGUAACGGCCCACCAAGGCGAUGAUCAGUAGCCGGUCUGAGAGGAUGAACGGCCACAUUGGGACAGAGACACGGCCCAGACUCCUACGGGAGGCAGCAGUGGGGAAUCUUCCGCAAUGGACGAAAGUCUGACGGAGCAACGCCGCGUGAGUGAUGACGGCCUUCGGGUUGUAAAG